AGAGUGCAGCGAGGGGGGGAUGGAUGAGGCAUCUGUGAUAGGGAGGCUUUUUUUAAGACAGUAGAGGUCAAUGUCGUGAUGUAUGGUUCGGAGAUCAAGAUACUGAGGUAGUCAUUGGAAGUGACUAGGAAGGACAAGAGCAGAAAGAAGAGACACAGAGAGCGCAGAUGGUUUAGACACAUGGAGACGAGUGUUGGACCAACAAUGUUGGCGUUGGAUGAAGAGGAAGAGGAUGUGGUGAAGGAAGACGGGAUCAGAUGAGGGGAGGAGUUGCGGGAAAUCCCAGAUAAGGAAACUCACAAACCAAGUGUGCAUCUUCUGAUUCAUUUGACUGAAACAGUCCUGACUCUUCCUGACCGACACGCUGAAUUUGUACUCCCCAAAGCUGCGGACAAUUCCCAUCAGUCACGGAAUCAAAGCCUUGACUCCACUUCAGAUCCUAAGAAGCGUGUCUCGCCGCGACUUCCUCCUACAAUAUUUAACCAGAACUUCAAUCUUGACCUUGAUUCAUCCAACUACACUCCUAUCUGAUAUCUGGCCUCCUGGGAAAUAUAAUCCUUCCGCCGGAGACACGCGCGUCAUGCCUUUUGAUCAUUUAGAAUACUAUUGAUUCAUGUCCAGGUUUUUCAUUUAAAACUUUAAUCGCACAUUCAGCCUGCAAGUCUGCGUUGCUUUAAAAACCUUUAAAGCUG
Molecule: long non-coding RNA, 692 nt
Organism: Synchiropus splendidus (mandarinfish)
Lineage: Eukaryota; Metazoa; Chordata; Actinopteri; Syngnathiformes; Callionymidae
Exons: 2
Source: RefSeq, a predicted model, not a curated record